Non-coding RNA from Pelobates cultripes (western spadefoot toad), 160 nucleotides. The record is from the annotation of a GenBank genome assembly. Lineage: Eukaryota; Metazoa; Chordata; Amphibia; Anura; Pelobatidae.
GGUUGGCUUGAAAUCCACCAAUCAGAGUGCUCUGUGUCAUUUUACACAGCGUGGGAAAGUUCUUUGGAAUUUUCCCACGCUGUGUAAAAUGACACAGAGCACUCUGAUUGGUGGAUUGCACGGAGCGGGGUGACGAUUUUUAUUUAUGGCCUCCACCCAC